CANGUGGUUNUUAANUUUGAUUGAAAGCCCCGGNUCANCCGGGAGGGUCAUUGGAAACUGGGGAANNUGAGUGCAGAAGAGGAUAGUGGANUUCCNAGUGUAGCGGUGAAAUGCGUAGAGAUUUGGAGGAACACCAGUGGCGAAGGCGACUGUCUGGUCUGUAACUGACACUGAGGCGCGAAAGCGUGGGGAGCAAACAGGAUUAGAUACCCUGGUAGUCCACGCCGUAAACGAUGAGUGCUAAGUGUUGGGGGGUUUCCGCCCCUCAGUGCUGCAGCUAACGCAUUAAGCACUCCGCCUGGGGAGUACGGUCGCAAGACUGAAACUCAAAGGAAUUGACGGGGGCCCGCACAAGCGGU
Molecule: ribosomal RNA, 359 nt
Filed under: uncultured bacterium
Lineage: Bacteria
Description: partial 16S ribosomal RNA
Rfam family: Bacterial small subunit ribosomal RNA
Source: RNAcentral